Molecule: microRNA precursor, 200 nt
Filed under: Dichanthelium oligosanthes
Lineage: Eukaryota; Viridiplantae; Streptophyta; Magnoliopsida; Poales; Poaceae
Description: MIR1435 microRNA precursor family
Rfam family: MIR1435 microRNA precursor family
Source: Rfam by way of RNAcentral
UUGGUUCGUCCUAAAUCAAACUUGUCUAACUUUAACUAAGUUUAUAGAAAAAUAUAAUAACAACUAUACUACCAAACAUAUACAUUAUCAAAACAUAUUCCAUUGUGGAUUUAAUAAAACAAAUUUGGUAUUGUAGAUGUUGCUAUAUUUUUAUAUAAACUUAGUCAAAAUUUGACAAGUUUGACUUAGGACAAACCAAA